GAGAAUUCAACCUGCUGACCGUUCCUUGCUGUUAAUUGUGCUUCCAAAAUUGAAGAAACAUGUUUACAAAAUAACUUCUUUAGUGGAGACUUUCAUCCAGAUUUCGACACCUGACAUCAUGAUGUCUAUCAGAUCAGAAUCUAUUGACUUGCAAUAUAUAAAUCUGGUGCAAUUCUGACUGGGGACGGCAGCAUCAAUUUUUGAGAGAUUAAUUCAUUUUUGAAGUCCGAUCUCUACUCUCUCUUUCUUCCCCUGCGAAAAAGACCUUCUUCUUGGUGAUUUAGGGUCUUUUAUUUUGGAUAUUUUGGGGAGAAAUAAUCUAGGUUUUUGGAUCUGAUUGCUGACCAUUUUCUUCCUGUGUGGAGACUCCAUUUUUGGCGAUUUUCAGAUUUGUGAGAGAGACUUUAUUCUUGGUUUUAGAGACGGCUUCUUGGGUUCUCUCUUCUCAGUGAAGACUUCAUUCUCCUUUGUGGAUUAGGGUCGAUUCUUGAGUGUUUUCAGCAAGUAAAUCUGGGAAAUCGUGUAAUACUAUAGAUGCAUUUAGUAGGGUGCUUUUCUCUGUUGAUUGUGUAUGAAUCUUAGUGAUUCUAUGAGGACAGUUCGGUUUUGGUGAUCUAUGUGAUCCAGAUUUUGAUUCCUCAGUGGAGUGAGGCGUGAUUUGUGCCUUAUUUUAAAGAUAAGUCUUGGUGACUUUAUUUCUGUUAUACUACUAAAACAUUCUUGUAUUUUACUGCUUGAUUUUUGGGGCUUUAUAGUGUAACCGAGCUUUAUCCAUUUUAAUGGAUGCUC
Molecule: long non-coding RNA, 789 nt
Filed under: Olea europaea (common olive)
Lineage: Eukaryota; Viridiplantae; Streptophyta; Magnoliopsida; Lamiales; Oleaceae
Description: long non-coding RNA (OEUR_LNC013330)
Source: RNAcentral